UACCUGGUUGAUGCCUGCCAGUAGUCAUAUGCGUUGUCUCAAAGAUUAAGCCAUGCAUGUCUCAGUAUAAGCUUCUAUAUGGCGAAACUGCGAAUGGCUCAUUAAAACAGUUAUAGUUUAUUUGGUGGUCAACUUCUACAUGGAUAACCGUGGUAAUUCUAGAGCUAAUACAUGCGCCCAAACCCAACUUCUUGGAAGGGUUGUGUUUAUUAGAUACAGAACCAACCCAGGCUCCGCCUGGCCUUGAGGUGAUUCAUAAUAACCGAACGAAUCGCAUGGCUCCGCCGGCGAUAGACCAUUCAAGUUUCUGACCUAUCAGCUAUCGUCGGUAGGGUAUUGGCCUACCGUGGCAAUGACGGGUAACGGAGAAUUAGGGUUCGAUUCCGGAGAGGGAGCCUGAGAAACGGCUACCACAUCUAAGGAAGGCAGCAGGCGCGCAAAUUACCCAAUCCUGACGCAGGGAGGUAGUGACAAGAAAUAACAGUACAGGGCAUAUCUGUCUUGUAAUUGGAAUGAGUAAACUUUAAAUCACUUUGCGAGUAUCAAUUGGAGGGCAAGUCUGGUGCCAGCAGCCGCGGUAAUUCCAGCUCCAAUAGC
RNAcentral lists this ribosomal RNA (597 nucleotides) under uncultured marine eukaryote. RNAcentral describes it as "SSU rRNA". It matches the Rfam family "Eukaryotic small subunit ribosomal RNA", at positions 1 to 598 of the family's 1831-position model. The record is from RNAcentral.